CCUACGGGUGGCAGCAGUGGGGAAUAUUGGACAAUGGGCGAAAGCCUGAUCCAGCCAUGCCGCGUGUGUGAAGAAGGCCUUCGGGUUGUAAAGCACUUUCAGUGGGGAAGAAAGCCUUGGGGCUAAUACCCUCGAGGAAGGACAUCACCCACAGAAGAAGCACCGGCUAACUCCGUGCCAGCAGCCGCGGUAAUACGGAGGGUGCGAGCGUUAAUCGGAAUUACUGGGCGUAAAGCGCGCGUAGGCGGUCUGAUAAGCCGGUUGUGAAAGCCCCGGGCUCAACCUGGGAACGGCAUCCGGAACUGUCAGGCUAGAGUGCAGGAGAGGAAGGUAGAAUUCCCGGUGUAGCGGUGAAAUGCGUAGAGAUCGGGAGGAAUACCGGUGGCGAAGGCGGCCUUCUGGACUGACACUGACGCUGAGGUGCGAAAGCGUGGGUAGCAAACAGGAUUAGAUACCCCAGUAGUC
This 465-nucleotide ribosomal RNA is filed under the name Vreelandella stevensii. RNAcentral's name for it is "partial 16S ribosomal RNA". It matches the Rfam family "Bacterial small subunit ribosomal RNA", at positions 338 to 795 of the family's 1533-position model. The record is from RNAcentral. Lineage: Bacteria; Pseudomonadati; Pseudomonadota; Gammaproteobacteria; Oceanospirillales; Halomonadaceae.